Molecule: long non-coding RNA, 1391 nt
Organism: Eptesicus fuscus (big brown bat)
Lineage: Eukaryota; Metazoa; Chordata; Mammalia; Chiroptera; Vespertilionidae
Exons: 3
Source: RefSeq, a predicted model, not a curated record
GGAGUACUCACUGCUCUCGGCCAGGACAAAGCUGCCACACUCCUGGGAGCGGUUGCCAGACUGGUCUGUCAUGUUGACACUGAAAAUGUCGUCGGCCAUGAAGCGGAACACAUCCAUGUGGCACGUGUAUUUUGCGAAGGGCGCUGAGCAUUCCAGGCCUCCUUCCCACUCUCCUUCCCUCCAAACUCCACCGAACACCGAACCAAGAGCCACACAGAGCUCCGUCCGGCUCUGAGGAACUUCCAGGGAGGCUCGGAACAUGACCACCCUCCAGGGCCAGUACGGAUGUGUGGGUUCAGAUCGCUGCUAAAUGUUGGCUGGAAUAGAAAUGUCUCCUGAAUCAGUGCUCUCCAAGCCUCCAGCCUGGACACUGCGCUGGCUGCCUGGUGGGGUCCUCGCCUUGCCCGCCCGCCCUGCGAUCUCUUUCACUUGCACAGCAGCCAGGGGGGCCUUUAAAAGCUCCCUGUCACUCCCCUGCCUAACACUCCGCAGUGGCUUCUCACCGCCCACACCACAGAGCCCGGCCGUGCCAACCCCUCGCCUCCUGUACUUGCUGUUCCCCCUCACGCUGGCUCAGCCCCCUCUGGCCACACCGACCUCCUCACUGUGCCUCCAACGCUCCAGCUCUCCCCGCCUGGGCCUUUGCACAUGCAGUGCCCUCGGCCUGGAAGGCCCUUCCCCCGCUCACCGCUGCCUCCUCCUCACCCACAGAGGCCUGCCUGGCCCCUUGGGCCCUCCCCCACGUCACUUGCUCUCUACCCCGCGGUCCAGCUUCCUGUUCUUGACAGCACUCAUUGUACUCAGAAAGCAUCCUGCUGGCCGCCGUGUGUGUAUCUGUCUCGCCAGCCACUCCCGCCGCCGUGUCAGCUCCAGGACACCUGGGACCUCGCGGCUGGGCCUCUGCUGAGUCACUGGUGCCGGCACGCAUCAGGCAGGAGCGGAAUCAAAGUGUUCUGUGUGAACGGAUGAGUGAGUGGAUGAUGGCCAAGUCCCUCCGUGACCACACUCCACGCAGGCUCCUCUGAACUCUCCUCAACGUGGCCCUGACUUUUGGGUUCCCGUGUCUGUCUCUGCAUCGUCUACUUUGAGCGAGACUCCUGCUCAGUCAGUCCAGCCCGAAUCCCCACCCUCAAUACCAAAGUGGGUUCCUCCUCCUCCACCAGCCCCAGGUGGUGUCUGAUCCCCCUGGGCUGCCUCAGCAAGAGCCCUGUUAGGUCGGUUUAGCCCGACGCCCUCUGACCCCUGAUGUUUCCUCCUAGUGGUUUCCAUGCACUGACCACUCCCUGCUCCUUGGCUAUAAACCCAACUUCCUCGUUGCGUUCCGAGUUGAGCCCAAUCAGCAAAACCCUGUGCAGUGGCCCCCACGCCUGUCACGGUGGUCUUAAAUAAAG